GGGUAGGUGGCAGAGUGGACAAUCGCUCUUGGCUGUAAACCAAGCGCCUUCGGGCUACGGGGGUUCGAAUCCCUCCCUACCCA
This 83-nucleotide transfer RNA is filed under the name Candidatus Nealsoniibacteriota bacterium. Its description in RNAcentral is "Candidatus Nealsonbacteria bacterium tRNA-Tyr". It matches the Rfam family "tRNA". From Rfam's summary of the family: Transfer RNA (tRNA) molecules are approximately 80 nucleotides in length. Their secondary structure includes four short double-helical elements and three loops (D, anti-codon, and T loops). Lineage: Bacteria; Candidatus Nealsoniibacteriota. The record is from RNAcentral.